GAUGAAGAACGUAGCGAAAUGCGAUAAGUAAUGUGAAUUGCAGAAUUCAGUGAAUCAUCGAAUCUUUGAACGCACAUUGCGCCCCCUGGUAUUCCGGGGGGCAUGCCUGUUCGAGCGUCAUUUCACCACUCAAGUCUCGCUUGGUAUUGGGCAACGCGGUCCGCCGCGUGCCUCAAAUCGACCGGCUGGGUCUUCUGUCCCCUAAGCGUUGUGGAAACUUUCGCUAAAGGGUGUUCGGGAGGCUACGCCGUAAAACAACCCCAUUUCUAAGGUUGACCUCGGAUCAGGUAGGGAUACCCGCUGAACUUAAGCAUAUCAAUGAGCGGAGGA
Molecule: unclassified non-coding RNA, 330 nt
Filed under: soil metagenome
Description: partial contains 5.8S ribosomal RNA, internal transcribed spacer 2, and large subunit ribosomal RNA
Rfam family: 5.8S ribosomal RNA (bases 1-120)
Source: RNAcentral